CCUGCAACAAUGGCGGUUGUAGAGAUAGAGAGAGAGCAAUUGAGCAAUUGUUUAAUAUAUGACAAAAGCCUAUUAAAAUGACCCAAUAUUUAAUGCUAUUACAAUUAAACCCCCCAAAUUCCCUUACAAUUGAACCCUUCAUUACAAUUUAAUCCUUUUCUUUGUGACCAAGGCAAUCACACCAAUGAGAUCACAUAACAGGCCGAACGAAACCCUAAAAACCAGUCGGGUCGUCCUCUCCUUCCACCACCCCAAGCUCUCUCUAACGGUCUCUCACCAGUCACCACUCACCAAGUCGUCAGUGUAUUGGCGUGAGUAAUUUUUAGGGAAAUAGGAAUGUAAGUAUUGUGCAAAUAUUAAAGCAUAUCCAAAGAAGAUGCAAAAAUGUACACAUCAGUUAUAACAGUAAAAAAAGACCAUACUAAUAUUCUUCAACUGAAGUGCCAAAUCCUAUGUGGUGAUGAUAUGAAUUGGCAGCAAAAGAGGUUGCUGUCAAAAUUUGACAGCAGCUUCAAAUGUUUUUAUUAAUUAUUAAAUGUA
This 540-nucleotide long non-coding RNA is filed under the name Malus domestica (apple). RNAcentral's name for it is "long non-coding RNA (MDOM_LNC017849)". The record is from RNAcentral. Lineage: Eukaryota; Viridiplantae; Streptophyta; Magnoliopsida; Rosales; Rosaceae.